Molecule: ribosomal RNA, 465 nt
Filed under: Vreelandella stevensii
Lineage: Bacteria; Pseudomonadati; Pseudomonadota; Gammaproteobacteria; Oceanospirillales; Halomonadaceae
Description: partial 16S ribosomal RNA
Rfam family: Bacterial small subunit ribosomal RNA
Source: RNAcentral
CCUACGGGCGGCAGCAGUGGGGAAUAUUGGACAAUGGGCGAAAGCCUGAUCCAGCCAUGCCGCGUGUGUGAAGAAGGCCUUCGGGUUGUAAAGCACUUUCAGUGGGGAAGAAAGCCUUGGGGCUAAUACCCUCGAGGAAGGACAUCACCCACAGAAGAAGCACCGGCUAACUCCGUGCCAGCAGCCGCGGUAAUACGGAGGGUGCGAGCGUUAAUCGGAAUUACUGGGCGUAAAGCGCGCGUAGGCGGUCUGAUAAGCCGGUUGUGAAAGCCCCGGGCUCAACCUGGGAACGGCAUCCGGAACUGUCAGGCUAGAGUGCAGGAGAGGAAGGUAGAAUUCCCGGUGUAGCGGUGAAAUGUGUAGAGAUCGGGAGGAAUACCAGUGGCGAAGGCGGCCUUCUGGACUGACACUGACGCUGAGGUGCGAAAGCGUGGGUAGCAAACAGGAUUAGAUACCCCUGUAGUC